UACGUAGUGAGCAAGCGUUGUCCGGAAUCAUUGGGCGUAAAGCGCGCGUAGGUGGCCUCAUAAGUCCGCUGUGAAAGUCAAAGGCUCAACCUUUGAAAGCCGGUGGAUACUGUGAGGCUAGAGUACGGAAGAGGCGAGUGGAAUUCCUGGUGUAGCGGUGGAAUGCGCAGAUAUCAGGAGGAACACCAAUAGCGAAGGCAGCUCGCUGGGACGUUACUGACACUGAGGCGCGAAAGCGUGGGGAGCGAACAGG
This 253-nucleotide ribosomal RNA is filed under the name uncultured bacterium. Its description in RNAcentral is "partial 16S ribosomal RNA". It matches the Rfam family "Bacterial small subunit ribosomal RNA", at positions 524 to 776 of the family's 1533-position model. The record is from RNAcentral.